This 446-nucleotide ribosomal RNA is filed under the name uncultured bacterium. RNAcentral's name for it is "partial 16S ribosomal RNA". It matches the Rfam family "Bacterial small subunit ribosomal RNA", at positions 330 to 793 of the family's 1533-position model. The record is from RNAcentral.
GCCAGACUCCUACGGGAGGCAGCAGUGGGGAAUAUUGCACAAUGGGGGAAACCCUGAUGCAGCGACGCCGCGUGAGCGAUGAAGUAUUUCGGUAUGUAAAGCCCUAUCGGCAGGGAAGAAACAGACGGUACCUGACUAAGAAGCCCCGGCUAACUACGUGCCAGCAGCCGCGGUAAUACGUAGGGGGCAAGCGUUAUCCGGAUUCACUGGGUGUAAAGGGAGCGUAGACGGCGACGCAAGUCUGGAGUGAAAGCCCGGGGCCCAACCCCGGGACUGCUCUGGAAACUGCGGCGCUGGAGUACGGGAGGGGCAGGCGGAAUUCCUGGUGUAGCGGUGAAAUGCGUAGAUAUCAGGAGGAACACCGGUGGCGAAGGCGGCCUGCUGGACUGCGACUGACGUUGAGGCCCGAAAGCGUGGGGAGCAAACAGGAUUAGAUACCCUAGUAA